This 424-nucleotide ribosomal RNA is filed under the name Verrucomicrobiota bacterium. RNAcentral describes it as "Verrucomicrobia bacterium partial 16S ribosomal RNA". It matches the Rfam family "Bacterial small subunit ribosomal RNA", at positions 355 to 776 of the family's 1533-position model. The record is from RNAcentral. Lineage: Bacteria; Pseudomonadati; Verrucomicrobiota.
UGAGGAAUAUUGGUCAAUGGGCGAGAGCCUGAACCAGCCAAGUAGCGUGCAGGAUGACGGCCCUAUGGGUUGUAAACUGCUUUUAUAUGGGAAUAAAGUGAGGGACGUGUCCCUUAUUGCAUGUACCAUACGAAUAAGGACCGGCUAAUUCCGUGCCAGCAGCCGCGGUAAUACGGCAGGUCCAGGCGUUAUCCGGAUUUAUUGGGUUUAAAGGGAGCGUAGGCUGUUUGUUAAGCGUGUUGUGAAAUGUAAGAGCUCAACUUUUAGAUUGCAGCGCGAACUGGCAGACUUGAGUGCGCACAACGUAGGCGGAAUUCAUGGUGUAGCGGUGAAAUGCUUAGAUAUCAUGAAGAACUCCGAUUGCGAAGGCAGCUUACGGGAGCGCAACUGACGCUGAAGCUCGAAGGUGCGGGUAUCGAACAGG